GAUGAACGCUAGCUACAGGCUUAACACAUGCAAGUCGAGGGGAAACGAUAUUGGAAGCUUGCUUCCGAUAGGCGUCGACCGGCGCACGGGUGAGUAACGCGUAUCCAACCUGCCCACCACUUGGGAAUAACCUUGCGAAAGUAAGACUAAUGCCCAAUGAUAUCUCUAGAAGACAUCUGAAAGAGAUUAAAGAUUUAUCGGUGAUGGAUGGGGAUGCGUCUGAUUAGCUUGUUGGCGGGGUAACGGCCCACGAAGGCGACGAUCAGUAGGGGUUCUGGGAGGAAGGUCCCCCACAUAGGAACUGAGACACGGUCCAAACUCCUACGGGAGGCAGCAGUGAGGAAUAUUGGUCAAUGGGCGAGAGCCUGAACCAGCCAAGUAGCGUGCAGGAUGACGGCCCUAUGGGUUGUAAACUGCUUUUAUAAGGGAAUAGAGUGAGCCUCGUGAGGCUUUUUGCAUGUACCUUAUGAAUAAGGACCGGCUAAUUCCGUGCCAGCCGCCGCGGUAA
Molecule: ribosomal RNA, 508 nt
Filed under: uncultured bacterium
Lineage: Bacteria
Description: partial 16S ribosomal RNA
Rfam family: Bacterial small subunit ribosomal RNA
Source: RNAcentral